AUUCAGAGAAGUGCCAAAAUGUAGCUUUCUUCAUUCCAAAGAAGCAUCUGGCUUUGGACUUCCCAACCAGUUUGCAAGAUUGGAGCCAUGGAUCAGAAGAACUUUUAGGAUUCAGAGGAGCAGAUGGAGCAAGACAGCAGAAUAGAAAGCUCCACUGAUUGAUUGUCCCCUGUAAGGACACCAAGUUACAACUACAUACACAGAGAAAAACACCUGCAUAAGAACCAAAAUCAGGUGAGCAUUCAUAG
Molecule: long non-coding RNA, 248 nt
Filed under: Callithrix jacchus (white-tufted-ear marmoset)
Lineage: Eukaryota; Metazoa; Chordata; Mammalia; Primates; Cebidae
Description: lncRNA (ENSCJAG00000074517.1)
Source: RNAcentral